This 253-nucleotide ribosomal RNA is filed under the name uncultured bacterium. RNAcentral describes it as "partial 16S ribosomal RNA". It matches the Rfam family "Bacterial small subunit ribosomal RNA", at positions 524 to 776 of the family's 1533-position model. The record is from RNAcentral.
UACGUAGGGUGCAAGCGUUAAUCGGAAUUACUGGGCGUAAAGCGUGCGCAGGCGGUUCUAUAAGACAGGUGUGAAAUCCCCGGGCUUAACCUGGGAAUUGCAUUUGUGACUGUAGGACUAGAGCGUGUCAGAGGGGGGUGGAAUUCCACGUGUAGCAGUGAAAUGCGUAGAUAUGUGGAGGAACACCAAUAACGAAAACAGCCCCCUAAAAUAACACUGACGCUCAUGCACGAAAGCAUGGAGAGCAAACAGG